AACGAACGCUGGCGGCAUGCCUAACACAUGCAAGUCGAACGAGACCUUCGGGUCUAGUGGCGCACGGGUGCGUAACGCGUGGGAACCUGCCCUUAGGUUCGGAAUAACUCCCCGAAAGGGGUGCUAAUACCGGAUAAUGUCUUCGGACCAAAGAUUUAUCGCCUUUGGAUGGGCCCGCGUUGGAUUAGCUAGUUGGUAGGGUAAAAGCCUACCAAGGCGCCGAUCCAUAGCUGGUCUGAGAGGAUGAUCAGCCACACUGGGACUGAGACACGGCCCAGACUCCUACGGGAGGCAGCAGUGGGGAAUAUUGGACAAGGGGCGAAAGCCUGAUCCAGCAAUGCCGCGUGAGUGAUGAAGGCCUUAGGGUUGUAAAGCUCUUUUACCCGGGAUGAUAAUGACAGUACCGGGAGAAUAAGCUCCGGCUAACUCCGUG
Molecule: ribosomal RNA, 433 nt
Filed under: uncultured bacterium
Lineage: Bacteria
Description: partial 16S ribosomal RNA
Rfam family: Bacterial small subunit ribosomal RNA
Source: RNAcentral